Molecule: long non-coding RNA, 504 nt
Organism: Myotis davidii
Lineage: Eukaryota; Metazoa; Chordata; Mammalia; Chiroptera; Vespertilionidae
Exons: 3
Source: RefSeq, a predicted model, not a curated record
UUCCCAGCUGGACACUCCGCUAAGUGGUGCAGGAAGUAGGCCCCCAGGGAGAGAGGCAGCCAGCGGAGCUGAUAACCAGUGACCCAGGGACGCUCGGGCGCCUUGGGGCCGGGCCCGGGUCAGAUAAGCGGAAAUGCCAGGCUUAUCGGCUGCCUGAGUUCUGGAGAGGUGUCCCUGCCGGCCAGCCCACCCCACUCCCCGACUCCCGCGGGCGGGUGGCCAGGCAUCUCCAGGGGAGUAAACACGGAGUUGGAAGAGCCCCGCGCCCGCGGCAGGAUGAGGACUCUGUGCCCGUCUCCGGCACUGCGCGGCCCGGGCGCCAGGGGCCACCCACGGGCGUCAGGUUACACCCAGAUAUUCGCGGACAAAGAGAGAGAGGAGGCGGCGGGAGCCAAGCCGCAGCGCGCGCUGAGCAGCCGGGGCGUGCAGGCCGAGCUCCGGGGGCCUCGGGAAGAGAGCCAGCAGGCUGACCUGCCCGAGGGCACAGCGGCGAGGCUGCCUGCG